CUAGCAUAUCAAUAAGCGGAGGAAAAGAAACUAACAAGGAUUCCCCUAGUAACUGCGAGUGAAGCGGGAAAAGCUCAAAUUUAAAAUCUGGCGGUCCUUGGCCGUCCGAGUUGUAAUCUAGAGAAGUGUUACCCGCGCUGGACCGUGUACAAGUCUCCUGGAAUGGAGCGUCAUAGAGGGUGAGAAUCCCGUCUCUGACACGGACUACCAGGGCUUUGUGGUAUGCUCUCAAAGAGUCGAGUUGUUUGGGAAUGCAGCUCAAAAUGGGUGGUAAAUUCCAUCUAAAGCUAAAUAUUGGCGAGAGACCGAUAGCGAACAAGUACCGUGAGGGAAAGAUGAAAAGAACUUUGGAAAGAGAGUUAAACAGUACGUGAAAUUGCUGAAAGGGAAACGCUUGAAGUCAGUCGCGUUGGCCGGGAAUCAACCUUGCUUUUUGCUUGGAGUACUUUCUGGUUGACGGGUCAGCAUCAAUUUUGACCACUGGAAAAGGUCUUGGGGAAUGUGGCAGCUCCGGCUGUGUUAUAGCCCCUUGUCGCAUACAGUGGUUGGGAUUGAGGAACUCAGCACGCCGCAAGGCCGGGUUUCGACCACGUUCGUGCUUAGGAUGCUGGCAUAAUGGCUUUAAGCGACCCGUCUUGAAACACGGACCAAGGAGUCUAACAUGCCUGCGAGUGUUUGGGUGGAAAACCCGAGCGCGUAAUGAAAGUGAAAGUUGAGAUCCCUGUCGUGGGGAGCAUCGACGCCCGGACCAGAACUUUUGGGACGGAUCCGCGGUAGAGCAUGUAUGUUGGGACCCGAAAGAUGGUGAACUAUGCCUGAAUAGGGUGAAGCCAGAGGAAACUCUGGUGGAGGCUCGUAGCGAUUCUGACGUGCAAAUCGAUCGUCAAAUUUGGGUAUAGGGGCGAAAGACUAAUCGAACCAUCUAGUAGCUGGUUCCUGC
RNAcentral lists this ribosomal RNA (940 nucleotides) under Lepiota maerimensis. RNAcentral describes it as "partial large subunit ribosomal RNA". It matches the Rfam family "Eukaryotic large subunit ribosomal RNA", at positions 34 to 961 of the family's 3401-position model. Lineage: Eukaryota; Fungi; Basidiomycota; Agaricomycetes; Agaricales; Agaricaceae. The record is from RNAcentral.